GACGAACGCUGGCGGCGUGCUUAACACAUGCAAGUCGAACGGAAAGGCCCUGCUUUUGUGGGGUGCUCGAGUGGCGAACGGGGGAGUAACACGUGAGUAACCUGCCCUUGACUUUGGGAUAACUUCAGGAAACUGGGGCUAAUACCGGAUAGGAGCUCCUGCUGCAUGGUGGGGGUUGGAAAGUUUCGGCGGUUGGGGAUGGACUCGCGGCUUAUCAGCUUGUUGGUGGGGUAGUGGCUUACCAAGGCUUUGACGGGUAGCCGGCCUGAGAGGGUGACCGGCCACAUUGGGACUGAGAUACGGCCCAGACUCCUACGGUAGGCAGCAGUGGGGAAUAUUGCACACUGGGCAGAAGCCUGAUGCAGCAACGCCGCGUGCGGGAUGACGGCCUUCGGGUUGUAAACCGCUUUCGCCUGUGACGAAGCGUGAGUGACGGUAAUGGGUAAAGAAGCACCGGCUAACUACGUG
Molecule: ribosomal RNA, 468 nt
Filed under: uncultured bacterium
Lineage: Bacteria
Description: partial 16S ribosomal RNA
Rfam family: Bacterial small subunit ribosomal RNA
Source: RNAcentral